GGGGUUGUGGCUCAGUGAUAGAGCUCUUGCCUAUCACGUGUGAGGCCCUGGGUUCGAUUCUCAGCACCA
This 69-nucleotide transfer RNA is filed under the name Ictidomys tridecemlineatus (thirteen-lined ground squirrel). RNAcentral's name for it is "Spermophilus tridecemlineatus (thirteen-lined ground squirrel) tRNA". It matches the Rfam family "tRNA". From Rfam's summary of the family: Transfer RNA (tRNA) molecules are approximately 80 nucleotides in length. Their secondary structure includes four short double-helical elements and three loops (D, anti-codon, and T loops). The record is from Rfam by way of RNAcentral. Lineage: Eukaryota; Metazoa; Chordata; Mammalia; Rodentia; Sciuridae.